UACGUAGGGACCAAGCGUUGUUCGGAUUUACUGGGCGUAAAGGGCGCGUAGGCGGCUUAACAAGUCACUUGUGAAAUCUCCGGGCUUAACUCGGAACGGUCAACUGAUACUGCUCGACUAGAGUGCGGAAGGGGCAACUGGAAUUCUUGGUGUAGCGGUGAAAUGCGUAGAUAUCAAGAGGAACACCUGCGGCGAAGGCGGGUUGCUGGGCCGACACUGACGCUGAAGCGCGAAAGCUAGGGGAGCGAACGGG
RNAcentral lists this ribosomal RNA (253 nucleotides) under uncultured prokaryote. RNAcentral's name for it is "partial 16S ribosomal RNA". It matches the Rfam family "Bacterial small subunit ribosomal RNA", at positions 524 to 776 of the family's 1533-position model. The record is from RNAcentral.